RNAcentral lists this transfer RNA (71 nucleotides) under Urocitellus parryii (Arctic ground squirrel). RNAcentral's name for it is "Spermophilus parryii (Arctic ground squirrel) tRNA". It matches the Rfam family "tRNA". From Rfam's summary of the family: Transfer RNA (tRNA) molecules are approximately 80 nucleotides in length. Their secondary structure includes four short double-helical elements and three loops (D, anti-codon, and T loops). The record is from Rfam by way of RNAcentral. RNAcentral also lists the same sequence under 1 other name. Lineage: Eukaryota; Metazoa; Chordata; Mammalia; Rodentia; Sciuridae.
UGGGGUGUAGCUCACUGGUAGAACACUCACCUAGCAUGUGAGAGGCCCUGGGUCUGAUCCCAGCACCCCAA